AGGAAGCACUAUUUUAAGACGAGUAAUCGAGUCCAUGAGAAACGACGAAAUAAGUCGCAUAGUCAAAAGUGAUAAUACAAUCCUUGCAUUUGGUGAAAAACUCUGUACAAAAAGGGGCCAUGAUGAAGAGCAACACAAUUAUAUUAGACAGAAGUUAAGAGAAGUUGGUAGAUUGCUGAAAGACAUGCGAUCUUGUUCAGGCAAUGUUGAAAAGUCUUUGGAGAAUUUUAUGUAUCCAGAUGCUUUCAAAUUUAUUACACAAUCUUGCAAAAACGUUGCAGGCUUCGACGGAAACACCAAUACUUAUGCUACACCAUCAUUAGCCUUAAAGAUUGGCACAACGCUUCAGAAAUGUCUAAAAAUUCUAAUUUCGAAAGGAAUCGAAACAAACAAUCGGGAUCUGCAAACAAGGGCUGAGGAGCUUUCCAAACUAUUUGAAAUUAAUUGGACGGAUGACGUGUCUUCCAAUGCCUUAAGAACACGCCAUGAGACUAAGCAGAACAGUCAGAAAGGACUGUUGCCAUAGGCAAAUGAUGUCAAAGUAAUGUCUGAAUACUUACGACAUGAAGCAGAAAGACAUGCAAAUACCUUACAAGGAUCAGCAAGUGAUUGCGAGAAAAGGCAAGCAUGGCAUAAGUUGUCUGAAAUCUGCUUGUGCCAAACUAUUCUGUUUAAUCGAAGACGAUCAGGCGAGGUGUCAAAAAUGACAGUCGAAGAAUAUUCAAAAAACAAAUUGACAAAUGACGAUGGAGAAUUAGAUGGAUGUUUAACAAAACUGGAAAAAGACCUGUGUCGUUAUUUUUACCGUACAGAGAUUAUUGCAAAACGAGGUCGAAUAGCUGCAGUACUGUUUCCAAGACAGGUGAAAGAAAAUAUCGACCUACUCGUACGCAGCAGAAAUUCUCUAACAAACUGUUUCAAUAGUAAAUAUCUUUUCCCAACAAUAUCUGCAUCAUCGCAUAUUCGUGGGACAGAUGUAUUACGUUCGAUUGCAAUUGACUGUGGAGCUGAACAUCCGGAAAGGCUUCGUUCUACAAAGUUAAGGAAACAUAUUGCCACAAUGACUCAGCUUUUUAACUUGUCUGAAAAUGAAUUAGACAUUCUAGCUUAAUUUCUUGGUCACGCCAUUCGGGUACAUAGAGAAUUCUACAGAUUACCAGAUGGAACCAUGCAGGUUGCCAAAGUCAGCAAGCUGCUCAUGAUGAUGGAAAGUGGACAAAUUACCAGAAAUUCUGUCAAUUCGCUAGACGAUAUUGAUGUUGACGACGAAUGUAUUGAAGAUUUACACGACAGAUGAACUAUAUUCUUCUGAAUCAUCCGAAAAUGAAAAUACUGAAGACCUUGAAACUCUGCUUCCCAGCACCAGUCAACCAAAAUUAACAGACAAAGAAAAGGGUACUUCAAAUACCAGGAGAACAAAACAAGCAGCCAAAAAGCAAUGGAGUGAAAACGAAAAAGGAGCUGUUCACAGACACUUAGAUCGUUUUUUGAUAAUGGGUAAAUUACCAGGGAAAAAAGAAAUACUUGCAUGUAUUGAAAGUGAGAAUGACCUUCACAACAGAAGUUGGAAAAAUGUCAAAGACUUUUGCAGACAUUUAAUUAAAACAAAAAAACGACGGGGACUUUUAACUUAAAAAAAUAUUACAUAUUUAAUGCACGUUUAGGAGAAUACGUUAAAGAAUAAAGUUUUCACGUGUG
Molecule: long non-coding RNA, 1698 nt
Organism: Dreissena polymorpha
Lineage: Eukaryota; Metazoa; Mollusca; Bivalvia; Myida; Dreissenidae
Exons: 3
Source: RefSeq, a predicted model, not a curated record